ACACAUGCAAGUCGAGGGGUAGAAUUAGCUUGCUAAUUUGAGACCGGCGCACGGGUGCGUAACGCGUAUGCAAUCUGCCUUGUACUGAGGGAUAGCCCAGAGAAAUUUGGAUUAAUACCUCAUAGCAUUAUGAAAUCGCAUGGUUUUAUAAUUAAAGUUCCAACGGUACAAGAUGAGCAUGCGUCCCAUUAGUUAGUUGGUAAGGUAACGGCUUACCAAGACGAUGAUGGGUAGGGGUCCUGAGAGGGAGAUCCCCCACACUGGUACUGAGACACGGACCAGACUCCUACGGGAGGCAGCAGUGAGGAAUAUUGGUCAAUGGGCGCAAGCCUGAACCAGCCAUGCCGCGUGCAGGAUGACGGUCCUAUGGAUUGUAAACUGCUUUUAUACGGGAAGAAACACUCCUACGUGUAGGUACUUGACGGUACCGUAAGAAUAAGGAUCGGCUAACUCCGUGCCAGCAGCCGCGGUAAUACGGAGGAUCCAAGCGUUAUCCGGAAUCAUUGGGUUUAAAGGGUCCGUAGGCGGCCUUAUAAGUCAGUGGUGAAAGCCCAUCGCUUAACGAUGGAACGGCCAUUGAUACUGUAGGGCUUGAAUUUUUUGUGAAGUAACUACAAUAUGUAGU
RNAcentral lists this ribosomal RNA (625 nucleotides) under uncultured bacterium. RNAcentral's name for it is "bacterial SSU rRNA". It matches the Rfam family "Bacterial small subunit ribosomal RNA", at positions 51 to 674 of the family's 1533-position model. The record is from RNAcentral.